UAACUGGGCGCCUCGGCCUGAAGCCUUGCGGUGUGUCGGGUAACACCGGCAUACUGCUUAGCGGUCGGACAUAACCGCCGGAGUGGCGUUGACGGUGGGUCGGCCUUAACCGGUCGAUUCACCGGCGCGUCGCAAUCAAAUCGGCCGGGGUGCUCUUAACCGUGUGUCUCGGUCGGCCGGCAAACGUUUACUUUGAACAAAUUAGAGUGCUCAAAGCAGGCUGAUCUUAGCCCUGAAUAUCGCAGCAUGGAAUGAUGGAAUAGGACCUCGGUCUUAUUUUGCUGGUCUUUUUCUCAUAGACCCGAGGUAAUGGUCAAUAGAGACGGACGGGGGCAUCCGUACUGCGGCGACAGAGGUGAAAUUCUUGGACCGCCGCAAGACGAACGACAGCGAAGGCAUUUGCCAAGAAUGUUUUCCUUGAUCAAGAACGAAAGUUAGAGGUUCGAAGGCGAUCAGAUACCGCCCUAGUUCUAACCAUAAACGAUGCCGACCAGCGAUCCGCCGGUGUUACUCCCAUGACUCGGCGGGCGGCUUCCGGGAAACCAAAGUCUUUGGGUUCCGGGGGAAGCAUGGUUGCAAAGCUGAAACUUAAAGGAAUUGACGGAAGGGCACCACCAGGAGUGGAGCCUGCGGCUUAAUUUGACCCAACACGGGAAACCUCACCAGGCCCGGACACUGGAAUGAUUGACAGAUUGAGAGCUCUUUCUCGAUUCGGUGGGUGGUAGUGCAUGGCCGUUCUUAGUUGGUGGAGCGAUUUGUCUGGUUAAUUCCGAUAACGAACGAGACUCUAUCCUGCUAAAUAGGUGGCGGGUUUCUAUGCCUCGAGACUGCGGCGGGCGCAAGCCCGUCGCAGUCGGAAGGAAACUUGGGUGCGGUGGCCGACGGGACCAGGGCCGUGUGUUUGUCGGUCUCGAGUGCGUGGGUCAAACUGCGUACUUGGGCUCGGUGAGCGUACGGCUCCCCCGGCGAUACCACCGUACUCGCGCCCGUCACGUCUCUUCUUAGAGGGACAAGCGGCGUCCAGCCGCGUGACAGUGAGCAAUAACAGGUCUGUGAUGCCCUUAGAUGUCCUGGGCCGCACGCGCGCUACACUGAAGGAAUCAGCGUGUUUCAAUCUCCCUGUCCGAAAGGACCGGGUAACCGCUGAACCUCCUUCGUGGUUGGGAUUGGGGACUGCAAAGAUCCCCAUGAACCAGGAAUCCCUAGUAGGCGCGGGUCACUAGCCCGCGUCGAUUACGUCCCUGCCCUUUGUACACACCGCCCGUCGCUACUACCGAUUGAAUGAUUUAGUGAGGCCUUCGGACGGGCCCGUCGGGGGAGUGUUCCCGUCGUCUUCGCGGAUGGCGGGCGCGCGCCCUACCAACGGCGG
Molecule: ribosomal RNA, 1369 nt
Filed under: metagenome
Description: SSU rRNA
Rfam family: Eukaryotic small subunit ribosomal RNA
Source: RNAcentral